This 402-nucleotide long non-coding RNA is filed under the name Brassica napus (rape). Its description in RNAcentral is "long non-coding RNA (BNAP_LNC019153)". The record is from RNAcentral. Lineage: Eukaryota; Viridiplantae; Streptophyta; Magnoliopsida; Brassicales; Brassicaceae.
UUCAUAGACAUUCACGCGGAUAUGAGUUUUUGUUUACGGCCUAUUUGCAUGUUCUGAAAAAAAAAAAUGUAGGCUACUCUUCUCUAAAAGAUUUUUUUUUUUUUUUAUCAACACUCUUCUCUCAAAGAUUAGUUUAACUAAUAUCAUAGACAUGUCAUUACCCGAAAUCAUAAACAAAAAAAAGUAAUAACUAAGUUUAGUGGUCUACUACACAUACAGUUUUUAAUAAUCAUUCCAACCCAUUUGUUAGGUACCUGUGCAAGUAAAGAUAUAAACUGUUUUUCUUAUACAAAUUAUAUAUCGACAAUGAAGUGUUAGAUCUACAUGCGUAGGUUAAAGAGAUGGAUAAUCUAAAGAAACUUAAACCCAUUAACCUUUUUGCCUUUUUUAAUAAUUCCACCA